GACGAACGCUGGCUGCGUGCUUAACACAUGCAAGUCGAACGGAAAGGCCCUGCUUUUGUGGGGUGCUCGAGUGGCGAACGGGUGAGUAACACGUGAGUAACCUGCCCUUGACUUUGGGAUAACUUCAGGAAACUGGGGCUAAUACCGGAUAGGAGCUCCUGCUGCAUGGUGGGGGUUGGAAAGUUUCGGCGGUUGGGGAUGGACUCGCGGCUUAUCAGCUUGUUGGUGGGGUAGUGGCUUACCAAGGCUUUGACGGGUAGCCGGCCUGAGAGGGUGACCGGCCACAUUGGGACUGAGAUACGGCCCAGACUGCUACGGGAGGCAGCAGUGGGGAAUAUUGCACAAUGGGCGGAAGCCUGAUGCAGCAACGCCGCGUGCGGGAUGACGGCCUUCGGGUUGUAAACCGCUUUCGCCUGUGACGAAGCGUGAGUGACGGUAAUGGGUAAAGAAGCACCGGCUAACUACGUG
Molecule: ribosomal RNA, 468 nt
Filed under: uncultured bacterium
Lineage: Bacteria
Description: partial 16S ribosomal RNA
Rfam family: Bacterial small subunit ribosomal RNA
Source: RNAcentral